Molecule: ribosomal RNA, 117 nt
Organism: Chelonoidis abingdonii (Abingdon island giant tortoise)
Lineage: Eukaryota; Metazoa; Chordata; Testudines; Testudinidae
Source: Ensembl
GAUGCCUGUAAUCUCAUCCUGUGUAUCUAACUGCAUCAUAUCCACUAAACUAAUCGGAAUUGGGCCUGGUCAGUACUUGGAUGAGUGACCGCUAGAGAAAUGCAAUUGCAGGAAGUA